Heterocephalus glaber (naked mole-rat) is the source of this 2869-nucleotide long non-coding RNA. The record is from Ensembl. Lineage: Eukaryota; Metazoa; Chordata; Mammalia; Rodentia; Bathyergidae.
UUCGUUGGUGCUGUUGCCUGGGGUCUGCAGAGGAGAGGCUGGGGGUGAAGAAAACUUAUCCUGAAGAAGCCAGAGGAAAAACCCAGGGCAUGGGGGGAUGAAAUGUGUAAGCCCCGUGGCCUUUGCUGUGGCAGAGCAGGAAUCUGACCCCUGAUGGAUCCACGGUCUCAUCCCACUGAGGAUAGAGCUUGAAGGAGCUCUUGCGCUCAGGAGAGCAAACAGCUCUUAGAAUGCAGAGACAGGGACUGCAGGGCACCUAGAGCCCUGUAACGAAGCUUGGCCUCCAGUUCAUGCUACGCUCUUCCAGAAGAGAGCUGAAAUGAAGCCGCAAUGCCCGGUGUAGCUGUCCCACCCGCUCCCCGCCAGACAGUGUGCUCACGCUCAGCUCAGUCCUCUCCCAGUGGUCAGUCCCAUACCGCACAGCCUGUCCAGACAUCAGCGACACCCCUGCUCUCCAGCACGAUGGACCAGGAUACAGCAAAGCAGGGUUUACUUCCCAAACCCCACCGGCACUGAGAUGCAGGCUCUAAUCAGAUUAAGAAUUCGGCAAUUAAAUUAAGACAUAAAUUCCAGUGGUGUUAAAAUAAAUGCAGGUGUUCAACCCACAUUGUCCGGCCCAACGCAGCACCAUCUCGUGUCCCGUGGAAAGCGGCCCCCACUUUGGGAAACACCUCUUGGUACUGUGGAAAACAGAGCUGCGCUCUCAGCACACCAGCAGCCCUCCCGAAAGAAUGGUGUUGCUGAUCAUUUACAUCACGCCCCAGAGGAGGAUGGCUUCCUUCCCACCUGAGGUCGGAUAUGCAGGCAACACUUUGCAGCAAGGUUCGGCUCGUUGAUUGACCGGAGAAGUCCAUUGCUCCUCUCUUACUUCUGGCAAUGGGAAGAGCGUGAAUUUGUUUAGUGGCUGAAGAGCAAACCCUUUCUAGUCUUGCAUUUGGAAGAUGGACGGGGAGUAGUAAACCCAUUUCUUCUCAAGAGCUGCAUUCCCUGUGGAGAACUUACAUUCCUUCCUCAAGCCCUGCAAAACACCAUAAAGCCACAUUAGCUCAAAAGAGGGGAAGGAGGGUUAAUAUUUACAGGAGCAGUUAGGCAUCAAUUACCCUCAGUUUAAUGACAGCAAGCAUGUGUUGAGUACUCGUGUUAUAUACAGGACCACGCUAAUCACUGUACUCGCAUUAUCUCAUCUGUUACAACCAUCAAAACAACCCAACAUGCAGGAAUUUUAUUACCAUCAUUUUACAGAGGAAAGGCCAGAUCAGAGAAGUUUCAGGCAGUUCUCAGCCCAGGGUCUUUGGACUCCAAACCUGAAGCUUUUGGUCAUUGUGUGUUUGCAGACUCUCAGCCUUUGCAAAUCAUCUGUUCCUUCAGACCCUGAACCUGACGCUCUUCUUGAUUUUACAAUACAUUCCCUCAGUUAUUAACCUAAUACAAAUACAGGACUUGAUAGCCAAUUAGGCAAGAGGAAAGCCCCAAGAGUUGAAAAUGAAAGCUACCCCCAAAAGUGAAGAAUUAUAGUACAUUACCUACCGUUUACUACAGGUAGAGCAACUUACAUACGUUUUUCACACCUAACUUAAGACAAGCAUUUCUUACCCAUUUCACAGAUGAAGGAACUGAAGCUUUAGAAAUAAGAGAUUCUUUAGAAAUAAGAGAUUCUGAGCUUCUACAGAACAAGUAGCAUUCUCACCAGGCCAUCUGACUCAAAGGCCCCAUUGUCUCAAAAGAUUGCCAAGGAAAAUCCUCUCAAAUACAUAAAAACUCAACUUCCAGGUGUCACAUGGGCAUUGAAAACCAGCUGUGUCUUCAUCUGACCCGGUGACCUCUGUCCGCCAUGUCCCAGGUCAGCCACACCGGCCUCAGCUCAUCUCAGGCGGCCCCGGGCGGGAGGGGGGAUCUGACUCACGCUCUGGACAGGACCUCUGCAGAGACGCUUCACCCCGACCUAGAGCCCCAUAAAGCCGCACGGGCGUGGCCCUCGAGACUCCAGCUCCGUUGGUCUGGGGUUUGGCCCAAACACUGGUGUUUGUACAAGCAUGUCAGGUUCUGGUGCAUGGCUGUCAUUGACAGUCAGGGACUUUAAUGGAAAGUACAACCAAGAGAAAAUGUUGUGAAAAUACUUUAAAUCGUUCAUUACAAAGAAAUAAAAAGUAAAUGUACUUGGAUAUGCCUGAUAUAUUUCUGGAGAGUUUUUAAUUGUAGGAUUAUAAAACAGUGACCUUAGUGCCUCUAAAGUGUUGUAUAUUUAAUUUCUGGAGCGUUUAAGGACACAAAGAUUACUGCAUUUUAAAUAAACUGGACCCAGGAGACUGAGCACCUCCCUAGUUUAUAUUGUUUAGUUGUUGUAGAACUCAUCUGUUUCUAAGAUUUACAUUUUAAAGCCUCUAAAGAAUUAAAUAUUUGUGUUUGACCGCUCAUGAACACGAUGUUGACUGUGAUAAUCAACAAUUGCUGUCACCAUGACAUUUUGUCUCCCUAAUUAAGAAGUGCUUUUGUUUCCCCCAGAAUAUGCAAUCGAUGCCUGUAUUUUUACUCUAAAUGUUCCAGUAUACGAUUUUAUACCUGGAAUGAAAGAAGUGGUUGGGAAAACAGCAUUAACAAAUUACUUCUCCCAAAUGAACUACGGGAAGUUUGGGAUUACUGGUUAUGCUCUCUUUAAUUAUAUAAUCUGUAUGGAUUUCAUAUUUUCCACAAGGAAGCCAUGAGGUUUGGGAGCAAGUUUUUGCUUGAAUCAUAGCAGCACAGUUCACAACAGUCAAAAGGAGGAAAUGGCCCAAACACUCAGCGACAGAUAGAUGGAUAAGCACCAUGUGGCAGAUCCAUGCAAGGGAAUGUUGGUCAGCCACAAAUCAGUCUGCAACAUAGGUGAACC